Molecule: long non-coding RNA, 1837 nt
Organism: Megalobrama amblycephala (Wuchang bream)
Lineage: Eukaryota; Metazoa; Chordata; Actinopteri; Cypriniformes; Xenocyprididae
Exons: 3
Source: RefSeq, a predicted model, not a curated record
GCUGUGGGGUGGGUGUGUGUGUGUAAUAUGGGACUAAGCGGAGCUGCAGUCUGCCGCUGACAGUCACACUGCGAGUGUGUGCGUGCGCGCGCUUCUCUGACUCUUGAUACAUUAUAGCGAAACACAAGAUUUCAUCCGGACCUUCGUCUGAGUCUCUCAGUUUAAUAACAGGACGUCGUUCACGAGUGUGAAGAGCUUCAUCCGCGGGCGCGCUGGAUGAUGUGUUUGUAAAGUGCUGCACGUGGGUCCACAGCUUCAUUCAAGGAGAUAAACCGGAUGACUUUCUGGAUUCAUGUGGAUGUGGAUUCAUUCUUGCUUCAGUCUGUUUGGAUUCUAACGGCUCAGAUACGUGCUUUGUGAAUGUGACCAUGAUUAAAUGGUGUAUUUUUGGGAGAUUGCCGUGUCUCGCUCCAGUGGAGCUGCAUAUGACUUCUGGAAUAACUUAACAUGUGGAAUAAACUUACUUUAAAGGAUGAAGGAUUAACAGAAGUAAGAGAAGAAGCACAAACUCCUCAGAAGAAACAAACGCUCUGUGGGUCCACCCUGACUUCGCAUGGCUCUUCCUGAAGAAAGGAAAAAGCCCUGAUGUGCUUGUCACCCGAGCUGACGGCCGGGGCUGCGUGAUGGAGCCCGAAUGUCUUCACUUGGUCCCUCUUCAGACACUCAAUGGCCGCUCUGUUUCAGCCUGACGACGAGUCGAUUGGAUAUAAUCUUGAGAGCUGGACUCAGGAGAUCGGGAGGGAUAGGGAAACUCUACAGUAGGCUUUGCAGGGAAGGAUCAUCUUUCUCCAGAAGUAGGAAACGAGCAUCGGAGGGUUCCUGCUGCCAGUCGGCUCUCUCCUCCUGUUACGACACGGGACCAAAUUCAAACCAUGUGUCCUCGCACCCGGUUAGCUGAUUUUGCCCACCUCUAGCAUUUGCAGUCUGGACGGAUCCAUUUCACUGCCCCUCUCCUGUGCAGCGUUCUCAUUCUCCCAGCACCAAAUGAGCCUCUCCGUGGGACUCCUGGCUUAAUAGGCUGGAACUUUCCCAUGUCCGGUCUCCGAAGGUGGCUGUUAUCCUCUGAGUGCCUCUGUGCAAGGUUCAAGCUGGAGCUCAUGUUAUGGGGUAGUAUCUGAAGAGAGUCAUGGAUGAGUGUGACGGGAACACAGGGGAUUUGAGGAUUGGUGAGAGAUAUUUGGAGAUGGCCAUUUCAUAAGUGGAUUUAGACAUUUGCUACGGCUUUCCGUUGUGUGGGACAUCACGGCAUCUGCUGUUUCCUUUUACCAUUCUUUGACUGCAGAUACUGGAUUACCUGGACUGUUUUCUACUUUAUCAUUCUUUCCCUUCUGAUUGGUCAGUUCCAGUGAUGCUAAAAUGCACAAUAUAAUAACAGCUAUGAUGCUAAAACUCCUGUUGACCAUCCACACCCAUAGAGACCCUAUUAACUUUAGUUUAUGUGCCAGGGCUAGAUCUAGUUUUCAUGAAAAUUGUGGUAAUAUUUUAAUAUAGCACUGUCAUUUUUUUUUUUUUUAAGAUUUAAGGCACUUGAGGUUGUGUUAUAUUGCAAACAUUGAUGCUUGUGGCACUAUUUAGCCAAGAUGACUACGUGCACAAUUUAACACAAUUUAUUGCUGUAUUUUAUUAUUUAUUUUUUUUUUUUUUUUAUUCAUGGUUGUAUAACUUAUUUGAUUUAUAUAUAACUAAUUUAAAAAUGAUUUUUAUUUAUUUAGUUUUUAUUUUUUGCCUGAGAACAAAAAAUUAAGUGGAUUGAAAAAUUUGUCAUGAUGUUAAGAACUGUAAAAAUGACAUGCACGAUAAUUUAAAAGUUAAUAAAAAGAAACCUUUCAUAAUUAAA